Molecule: long non-coding RNA, 7250 nt
Filed under: Salvia miltiorrhiza (redroot sage)
Lineage: Eukaryota; Viridiplantae; Streptophyta; Magnoliopsida; Lamiales; Lamiaceae
Description: long non-coding RNA (SMIL_LNC000633)
Source: RNAcentral
UCAGCACCAACACCAACCCCACCUCACCAAACAUCCCACUCCACCAACUCCAUUAUCUUUUGCUCCCCACCAAAUCCUUCUCCCUUCUUACUCAAUAGAUCGCCAGUGGAGCUGUUUAAGAAAAUCCAAUUCGUAUAUUCCAACAGAAUGUUUACAGCAAGCUCAUGCCAACAUCAAAACCAAGUUUCACACAGAAAAAAAAACACCCGAAAUAACAUCUAUAAUCUCCGAGAUCUCCUUAUUCAAACAGUAUAUGCCAACAAAUUUUCACCAAGAAGAAGAAAACAGAUCAGCCAAUCAAGCACAAAUAGACAAGGUAAACACUAGGCUCAGCUCAUUCAAUCCAUUCGUUUUUCAUCCAACAAGCAUGAUCGAUUAAAGGAUACUAAGCAUACAAUGAGUAUAUUCAUAAAGAGACUUAGCAAACUCAUAUGAUCUUUAGGCAGAAAUCAGUUUAUGCUAUAUUUUCUUAUCACACGAGGCAAGCAAGGAAAUUUCUUGAUACAUUAGUAAACCACGAACUUAGUUUUAUCUCUUGCAUAAUCAAUUAUAGAAAUACCAUAAUUCAAUAGAAAAAGGGAGAGAGUGAGGCUUGAGCCGGUUCUUGAGCAGAGGACAGAUUUCAGCGGCAUCUCCUGCUGCCUCGGCGGAAAUUGCGUGACAACAGCAGCAGCGUCACGAACGAAACAACGGCGCUGAAUCGCUGAUCUUCCACAAACGGUGGAGAUGGCGGCAGAACCAUGGCGGCAGAGGCGGAAAAGAAACAAGGCUCGACUCCCCGCCUGCUUUGACAUCUGAAUCGGGACCGGAACGGAGGAAGAAGGCGGCGUGACGCAACUCGAACCCAUCGGGACCCCAACAACAACGAUCCAAGGACAGCAGCGGAUCGGCGAGCCUUUCACCUGCCGCCGGGAGGAACAGCGGCACCAUUCCAAGGGCAGCAGCGGCGCGAUGAGGGCGUCGGACACUCCCCUGCUCGCCGGCCUUCACAAGGCGGCGGCGGAACUUCAGCGUGAGGGAGAGAGACCGGAACCGAUGGCCGCUGAACAACCGAGGAAGAGGGCCGAUCAGAUCUUGGCCGAGAAAGAGAGAGAGCGGCCGGAAGGAGAGGAGGCCGACGGGCUCCAGGCCGGAGCAACCCGCUCCCAGACGGCGACCGUCGCCCAAUUUCGAAAGGGUAGCAGCAGCAGCAGCGCUGAUUCCUUGAGAAUCGGGCUCGAUGUUGGGGAGGAAAGAGGACGGCGCCGGGGCUGAGCGCGUCGACAGAUGACGCCGGCUGAAGUCGCGGCGGCGGACGCCUCGUGUGAAGGCGAGUCGAGAGUGAGAGGGAGAAGAGGCGUGCGGCUGGGUGAGAGAGUGAGGAGAGUUCGGCUGUUGAGAGUGAUAGAGAGAACCGAGCGAGGGAGAAAGUAAGGUGGGCCUUUUGUUAAUUUACUUGGGCUUCAUUUAAAUGAAUUGGGCUUCUAUUUUUUUGGGCUGUAGUGUUGGGCCGAAAAUUUUUAAAGGAAAGAAUUUUGGGCCAUUUUCCUUUAAUAUAAUUUGAGCAGAUGGGCUUUCUUAUUUAAAAGUUGGGCUUUCACUAAAUUCGAAUGGGCCAGUCUUUAUUUAAUUGGCCUUCUCAUUAUUUAUUGGGCUGAAUUAAUUUAAGGAGUUGGGCUGAUGCAUAUAUUUAUGAUGGGUUAUUAUUCUAAUCCCAUUUAUAUUUUAUUGGGCCAGUUUAAUUCAUCACUUGGGCCGAGUUUUAUUUAAUUUUAAGCUCAGAAUAAUUCAUUCUAUUCUUGGGCUAAUUUUAAAUUAUGGACUGAAAUUUUAUUUAGUUGGGCUUUACAUGAUUUAUUUAUUUGAGCCCAACAGACCUUAUUUUAAUAUCGGCCUUAUUAUUUUAUUUCUUUGGGCCGAGGCUUAUUUAAUUGCAGCUGGGCCUUGCGUACUUAUUUAACUUAGCCCAGCUAUUCAUUAUUUAUUCAUUGGGCCAAGAUUUAUUUAAUUACUUAAGCCAAUGAAUUAUUUCGAUUGGGCUUUCGUACUAUUUAUUCAGGCCCACUUCUACUUAAUUAAUUAUCAGGCUGCCUUGUUGAGCCUCUUAAUUAUUGAGCUUAUAUUAUUGUUUCCUUAAGGCCAAAUUAUUAUUUUGAGCUGCCAUUAUUUAUUUGAGUUAAGCUACUCGUUUUAUUUAAUUAAUUGGCUACUCUCUUUUGAGCCUAUUAAUUAUUUGAGAUUAUAUUAGUAAUUAUGUUUCUAUCGAAAAGCCCGAUAGUUUCUACAAGGUCACACCUCGUUUAAAGCCGAGUUAGUCAUUUUUCAAUCAAGUACAAAUGCGAGAUUUAUUUCACAACUAGAAUAUUACGAUGAGGAAGGAAGAAGCACAACUUUAUUCGACCGCGUUAGACGAGAAUUAGUUAAAUCUAUUAACAAGGAUUAAUAGUAGAAUUCCCGAUUAUCGCUCAAAAGAUUAGAUCAUGCAUACCAGAUUCAUGCAUAGUUAAAUUACGCUUUCUCAUUAAUUAAGAAUUUUCCUCGAGGCAAUGUCUUAUUUUAUAUUCUCGUGAUUAAGGUCAAGCGCGAGAGUAAGAACUACACAAGGAGUUAGAGUACCUUAGCAAAACUUUGCUAUCAGGUGGGCAAUUCCUUACGCGUAAAUAAAAUGCUAUGCAAAUGUUAUGCUUUAAAAUGCAAAUUGGAUCUUCAAGUAUGGUGCGUAUAGCUUUAUUAUGCUGCUAAAUGAUUAGCUUUAUUAUGCUGCACUUAAAUUUACGCCUAUGUAAUUUACGCUUGAUUACGCUUAUUUACGCUUGAAUGCUUUACGCUGAUAAGUUUAUGCUUAUGUUUGAUGCUUGCGUCUGUUGGGGGAGGCCUCCCUCAACAGUACGAUGCCGUGUCCGCUGAGGAGGGCCUUCCUCACGGCGCGAUGCCCGUGUCCGCUGAGAGAGGCCUCUCUCGCGGCGCGAUGCCAGUAUGCCAGUAUGCCAGUGUUACAGCGUCUAUUGGGGGAGGCCUCCCUCAAUAGUACGAUGCCGUGACCGCUGAGGGAGGCUCCCUCUCACGGGCGAUGCCCGUGUUCGUUGGGGAAGGCCUUCUCCACGACACGAUGUGUUAUGAUUAUGAUGAAGAAUGCCUAUGCUUUUAUGAAUUGGAAAUGUUUAAUGAGCAAAGGAUUGAAAGAAACUAUGCCUCUUAUGCGAUUGUGAUUGUUUGAUUUAUGUUAUAUGCUUGGCAACUGCCCACUAGUACUCUUGUACUAGCCCUUCGUAUGUUUAUGUUUGUGCAGGUUGAGUGUGAUGGGCGAUGAAGUGUUGUUGCUGAGUGGAGUUUUUGUCGAACUUAAAGUAGGCUCAGAAAGGAUACAUGUCUUCAUACAUGUAUCUCAGUUAUGCAUUCCGCUGUAAACACUGAUUAUUUCAGUUACCCUUCCGUUGCAAACUCUGAUAAUGUUUUAGCCAAGCCCCUAAAUGCCUUUUUCCUUUUAAGGAAUAUAACGCGUAUACAAGUUCUUUGAGUACCCUUUUUAUGCGAACUAUGCCUUUUUCCUUUUUAAGGAAUAUUUCACGCGUAUUCAAGCUCUUUGAGUAUUCUUUUAUGCGCCCUUUCUAAACCCGCUUCUUAAUUUCCCUUCCCCAGUCAUGGUUUUCCCGGAUUAAUUAUCCUUAAUUAAGGCCGGUCGUGACAGAGUGGUAUCAGAGCAGUUCGUUUGCUCUGAGCCUAAGAGUUUAUUUAAGCCAAACUUAGAAUGGAUCACUAAAGUGUCUAGAGUUCAAUCGACAAAGCUCAGCACUUCAUCGCAUCACACUCAACGAAGCAGAAUGGUAAGCUCUUCCAAGUUUUGAGUUAAUGUUUACAAAAAGUGAGAAUUAUCGUAAUAGCAAAGUGAGUAACUGUUAAUACUAGUUAUUUGUUAUUGAAUGAAAUGAUUUACGCAAGGCGAUUAAGUAUGCCUAUGGAAUGAAUCCCUAUGAACAUAGAGUAUUAAGAUAUGAGAUCACCACUACACAGAACAUAGAAGCAAACAUAGAAAAAAUUAGAUUGUAUCUUUUGGUGGCUAUAGUGAAGGAGCAAGAUAAGUGAUACGUAUAGAAAAUUUUCUUAAGCUAUGAUUUAUAGCCCUAUAAAUCUCCAUGACUUAUGCUAAGUAUCCAUUUAGAUGAUGUGAUAUUAUAUGCUUAAGAUUGUAUGACUCAUGAUUUGGAUGCUAAGGACCCUUAAAGCUUACUACAUCAAUGAUCAAUGAUGUCAUUGGAGUAUGACUUGUUUACAAGUUAAUAAGUUACUUACAAGAAUUCUUUUGAGGUUUGUAUUAGAUUAUGCUAGAGUGUCUAAUUGCACAUCCUGCUAUCAGAAUGCCGCCUAAGAGAGGACGCCCUGCGAGAAACAAUAACAAUCGCAGAAACCGUAACGCUGUACCCGAAGAACCACAAGAUGCUCGAGGACAUAACCCAUCCCCUCCGCCCCCAACUAGGAGAGUCGAAGAACUCUUUUUAAGGCAAAACCACCUACGUUUGACGGAACGAGUGAACCGCUGAAGCUGAGAUUUGGGUGCGUCAAUGGAACGCAUUUCAACUUUCUACUUGUACUGAUGAGGAGCGCCUAUCUUGCGUCUCUUCCAACUAACAGGAUCGCUGACUUUGGUGGGAAGCACGACGAAAAAUCUGACACCGAACAAUGGGCAAUAUACUUGGGAAGAUUUUAAGACGGAUUAUAUGAUAAAUAUAUCCGAAAAGCUAUAGAAGAAGAAAGAAGCUGAGUUCUACGAGUUAAGCAAGGAAAGAAAUCUGUGGUUGAAUACGACAAGGAAUUCUGCAACCUGUCGAGGUUUGCUCCCAACAAGUACACAGAGAGAAGAUGGCAGAGAAAUUUUGUGCCGGCUGCGGUACAAUAAUGGCUCUAGCAAGCCACGGAGGACUCUCAUACACGGAGUCUCUGAACAGGGCACUUGACGUUGAAGCUGCAAUGCCGUCGACAAGUCAGCCCCAUUGAUCUCAACGCCAAACGAUCCACCAGGAGCCUCCAUACCUCAAAGGGAAGCGCAAGUGGGACAACAAGAAGACAAAUCAAUCGAUAUAAGAGUUGGCAAGAAAGAACGGGCCGAACAGUUUAUUCAACCAAGGACGAGGCACAGACUAACUCGAGCAACUGGGGUACCAAGGUCAGAAAGGAGUUUUACCUUGCCCAAAUUGUGGUAAGAUGCAUAGGGUGUUGUCGCUGGACUAACGGUUGUUACAAUUGUGGCAAAAAGGGUCACUACUCCACGCAAUCCCCAACAAAACGAGGUUCAGCAAUUGGAACACCCGCACCCUUGCCAGCAAUAGUGACACUUGCGAAAUCAGCCUCAAUCACAUCAGUGAAAAUCUUAUGGAGACACCGCAGACAAGAGAAGCUACGUGGGAACUUGAAGACAAGAUGAAGGAAAAAUACCCCGAACUGUUUUAGCAGAGAUAUGCAAAUUUCGGGACGAAAUUUUUGUUAAGAGGGGUAGUAUGUAGUAGCCCGCUCUUUUAAUUAUGAUUAAAACUAGUAAAUGCAAUUUUUAUAAAUGAAUCCAGUUUAUGGUCCUGAUUUUUUUUAUCAGAAACGGAGUUAUUAUUUUAGCUUUAUACUUUUAUAACUAUGAGAAAAACGCGACGAGGAUUAUUGAGCAUUCAAUAAUUAUUAUUUCCAAGUUAUAACUGACUUAGCAAAGUCAUUAUUUAUUAAUCGAAAACAGAAGCAGUUAUAUUUUAUUAGUGCUACUAAAGUCGAGGAAUUAUUCCGACUGCAACGCAGAUUAAAUCUACGGAUUUAAUUUAAGUUAUAUUACAGUUUAUCAAGUUAGCAGGCAAGGAAAAAGAUAUCAAGCAAGAUAGAGAAAUGCGAUGAUUGAAAAUCGAAACCAGUAUUUAUUACAGUUCACAGAUUACAGAUUAGUUCCCAGCUUGGGGAAAAUCGUCUAGUAUAUUACAAAGGAUUGGACUCUACGUGGCCACUUAAUGCCUUCACUCAAGUGUAGACACAUAAAUCAAUAAGAAUAAUAUUCAAUAUAACUAAGGAAUGUAGCAGGUCAUUACUCACCACUACUCCACUCCACCAAUUUCCCCACCACACUCAAAGUAUCAGCACCAACACCAACCCCACCUCACCAAACAUCCCACUCCACCAACUCCAUUAUCUUUUGCUCCCCACCAAAUCCUUCUCCCUUCUUACUCAAUAGAUCGCCAGUGGAGCUGUUUAAGAAAAUCCAAUUCGUAUAUUCCAACAGAAUGUUUACAGCAAGCUCAUGCCAACAUCAAAACCAAGUUUCACACAGAAAAAAAAAACACCCGAAAUAACAUCUAUAAUCUCCGAGAUCUCCUUAUUCAAACAGUAUAUGCCAACAAAUUUUCACCAAGAAGAAGAAAACAGAUCAGCCAAUCAAGCACAAAUAGACAAGGUAAACACUAGGCUCAGCUCAUUCAAUCCAUUCGUUUUUCAUCCAACAAGCAUGAUCGAUUAAAGGAUACUAAGCAUACAAUGAGUAUAUUCAUAAAGAGACUUAGCAAACUCAUAUGAUCUUUAGGCAGAAAUCAGUUUAUGCUAUAUUUUCUUAUCACACGAGGCAAGCAAGGAAAUUUCUUGAUACAUUAGUAAACCACGAACUUAGUUUUAUCUCUUGCAUAAUCAAUUAUAGAAAUACCAUAAUUCAAUAGAAAAAGGGAGAGAGUGAGGCUUGAGCCGGUUCUUGAGCAGAGGACAGAUUUCAGCGGCAUCUCCUGCUGCCUCGGCGGAAAUUGCGUGACAACAGCAGCAGCGUCACGAACGAAACAACGGCGCUGAAUCGCUGAUCUUCCACAAACGGUGGAGAUGGCGGCAGAACCAUGGCGGCAGAGGCGGAAAAGAAACAAGGCUCGACUCCCCGCCUGCUUUGACAUCUGAAUCGGGACCGGAACGGAGGAAGAAGGCGGCGUGACGCAACUCGAACCUCAUCGGGACCCCAAACAGCAACAACGAUCCAAGGACAGCAGCGGAUCGGCGAGCCUUUCACCUGUCGCCGGGAGGAACAGCGGCACCAUUCCAAGGGCAGCAGCGGCGCGAUGAGGGCGUCGGACACUCCCCUGCUCGCCGGCCUUCACAAGGCGGCGGCGGAACUUCAGCGUGAGGGAGAGAGACCGGAACCGAUGGCCGCUGAACAACCGAGGAAGAGGGCCGAUCAGAUCUUGGCCGAGAAAGAGAGAGAGCGGCCGGAAGGAGAGGAGGCCGACGGGCUCCAGGCCGGAGCAACGCCGCUCCCAGACGGCGACCGG